CUACGGGCUGCUGCAGUGAGGAAUAUUGCACAAUGAGGGGAACCCUGAUGCAGCAACGCCGCGUGGAGGAUGACGCAUUUCGGUGUGUAAACUCCUUUUAUAUGUCAAGAAAAUGACGGUAGCAUAUGAAUAAGCACCGGCUAACUCCGUGCCAGCAGCCGCGGUAAUACGGAGGGUGCAAGCGUUACUCGGAAUCACUGGGCGUAAAGGACGCGUAGGCGGGUUGGAAAGUCAGGUGUGAAAUCCUACAGCUUAACUGUAGAACUGCACUUGAAACUUCUAAUCUAGAGUAUGGGAGGGGGAGAUGGAAUUAGUGGUGUAGGGGUAAAAUCCGUAGAUAUCACUAGGAAUACCUAAGGCGAAGGCGAUCUCCUGGAACAUUACUGACGCUAAGGCGUGAAAGCGUGGGGAGCAAACAGGAUUAGAUACCCUUGUAGUC
This 439-nucleotide ribosomal RNA is filed under the name uncultured bacterium. RNAcentral's name for it is "partial 16S ribosomal RNA". It matches the Rfam family "Bacterial small subunit ribosomal RNA", at positions 339 to 795 of the family's 1533-position model. The record is from RNAcentral.